This 492-nucleotide ribosomal RNA is filed under the name uncultured bacterium. Its description in RNAcentral is "partial 16S ribosomal RNA". It matches the Rfam family "Bacterial small subunit ribosomal RNA", at positions 28 to 507 of the family's 1533-position model. The record is from RNAcentral.
GGUGAACGCUGGCGGUAGGCCUAACACAUGCAAGUCGAACGGCAGCACAGUAAGAGCUUGCUCUUACGGGUGGCGAGUGGCGGACGGGUGAGGAAUACAUCGGCAUCUACUUUUUCGUGGGGGAUAACGUAGGGAAACUUACGCUAAUACCGCAUACGACCUACGGGUGAAAGCAGGGGAUCUUCGGACCUUGCGCGAUUGAAUGAGCCGAUGUCGGAUUAGCUAGUUGGCGGGGUAAAGGCCCACCAAGGCGACGAUCCGUAGCUGGUCUGAGAGGAUGAUCAGCCACACUGGAACUGAGACACGGUCCAGACUCCUACGGGAGGCAGCAGUGGGGAAUAUUGGACAAUGGGCGCAAGCCUGAUCCAGCCAUACCGCGUGGGUGAAGAAGGCCUUCGGGUUGUAAAGCCCUUUUGUUGGGAAAGAAAAGCAGCAGGUUAAUACCCCGCUGCUCUGACGGUACCCAAAGAAUAAGCACCGGCUAACUUCGUG